GGUGGGGGACAGAGUGGGUGGGGAGGGGAGCCGCCAUACAGUGGCCAGGACCAGCUUUGCCCAAGUGGUGGCAACCGCAUGACCACAGGAACGAUGGCGUGAGCCCCGUGGCAACCUGGAGGAAGGGCCAAGCCACUGGUGAAUAUGCUGCAAAAAAUAUGCUGGAACUUCUAUGAAUACCACAGGGUGUGAGAAGAAAACAUUAGAACUUCUAUUUUGUACCUGUGUUACUCCACAACAAGAAAGCAAUCAGCUUGAUCAAUGCCUACUGUAAAGACGGCACCGCCCUCCGGAGGUCCUUUCUCAGCCCUGGUGUUCGGACAGCCACAUCCCCUCGCAGCAGGGGGAGGCCUGAAGCAUAGAGGGGCCCAUGCAGGUCUAUUCUGUUUCAGCGAAUUGCCUGGGAAAUAAUCCAGGAUCCAUUUCGUGUGGUCAUCUUGUCUCCCUGGUCCCCUCCAGCCUUUCCUCAUCUUUUGUGACCUGGUCACUCUGGAAGGGCGCUGGCCAGUUAGUCCACAGGAUGGGCCUCCCCUGGGGCUUUUCUGAUGCUUCCUUAUGAUGGCACUGGCAUCCUGAGGGGGAGGACCACAGAGAGGAGGUGCUCCUCAUCACACCACAUGGGGGUCCAUGCACCAGUGCCACUGCUUUCCAGGGCUCUUCACCUUCAUCACUGGUGGAGGUGGCGUCUGCCAAGAAGCAGAAAGUUGAGGCUUAGAAGGUGCACGGCCCUACCUCUUCCGAGGUGCCCCUGCGGGCUGUCUACAGACCAGGCAGCACAUGCCUGAUAGCAGCUGCAUAAGGAAAAGCAGGAGCCAGCUCGUGCACAGUGGCCUCAAGUGUGCACUGGGCAUGUUCUCUGCCUCACCAUCCCUGUGUGACAGAUGAAGCAUGGCAAGCCAGGCUCCAGAGAAGCAUCCUGAGGACCAGUGUUCCUAGGGACCUCAUUCUUCUGACCUCAUUCCUACAACGUUUUGUCACUGCAAAGGAAAUCACCAAGGCCAGCUUGAGAAGCCUCUGCCUGGGUGCGCAGCCCCACAGCCCAGCCUCUGCAGAGUGGGAGGGGAGCCAGGCCCUGCUUGGGUAGCAUUGCCAUGGCAACCUCUCCCCACGCUGCUCCUCGCUGAGACCCGGGCAUCUGUGGCCAUGGCGACUGGGCCUGCCACUGGCACAUCUGCAUAGCAACCAGAGAGGGUGCCGAGCGCAGCUGGGCCCCGCUCAGGAAAACAGGUACACUCAGAGCUUUUAUCAGUCAUUAAGGAGAAGCUGGGAGCCUCUAUGGGGAGAAAGGACAAAGGAUGCAGACAAAAGACUUGGAACCGCAAGUGGCUAAUAAAUCUAUGACAAGUGCCCAACAUUACCAGCGAUCAUAGAAAUGCAAAUGCAAACAACAAUAAGAUACUUAAAGAAAAACAACAACAACUAGUGCAAUUGGCAAGAGAUGAGGCACAAAAGAGAUAGGACCCAGUGUUGGCGGGGGGUGUAGGGAAUGGGGACUCGAACACCCUGCUGGUCUGAGUGCACAUUCAUGGAACAUUUCUGAGAAGGCAAUUUGCAAUCUGUAUCAAAAGCCUUUAAAAUGCACAUACCUUUUGAACCAACAAUUCUAGUUGUAGUAAUUUAUUCCAAGGUAAUAAUUAAGUGAGUAAAGAUUCAGCUCCAAGUGUGUUCCCUGUAGGGGCAAUUAUAAUACAAAAACUUUGAAACAACCACAAUCUGAAAAAAAAAAAAAAAAGAA
Long non-coding RNA from Homo sapiens (human), 1735 nucleotides. Ensembl annotates it as long intergenic non-protein coding RNA 1471. NCBI's taxonomy places the organism in Eukaryota, Metazoa, Chordata, Mammalia, Primates, Hominidae. The record is from Ensembl.